Molecule: long non-coding RNA, 625 nt
Filed under: Danio rerio (zebrafish)
Lineage: Eukaryota; Metazoa; Chordata; Actinopteri; Cypriniformes; Danionidae
Description: lncRNA (ENSDARG00000101518.2)
Source: RNAcentral
AGGCAACUGCCAUUUUCACCAGUGAAGAGGACAAGUGAAGAGAUCGCACCAAAAUGACGAUGAGAAUAACCAGUAGGAUGGAGAAGAGAAGACCGACUAAAACUCCUAUGAUCAGGACAAGUUGAUCAUCGCUAGUUUCCCUUUGGUUCAGUUCUCUGGGAAUGAUACCCUCCGCUUGGGAUUCCUCGUGAAGGCUGGGAUGUUUCUGAAAGCUGUGGUCCAGCGCUAUAUGUAAGAUGUUUGUGCCGCGGUUACUUUCUACGCUGAUAUCUUGAGCCAAAUCUGGAACGCCGUUUGCUGAUCUUUUGGAAAUUGAGUGGCUGUGUGUUAGAGAGUGAUAAUCCAGGCUUCUUUUCCCAAUGCCUCGAUUGGCGUUCUCUCUGGAGCGGACGGUGUAGAUGGUGUGGAUGUACCAUUCUCUGCCUGCCGAAACCUGGAUGGAGUGUUACAGCAUUAGCAAUAACCCUUGUGUACUGUUCAAAUGGACUACCCUUGUUAUGUUUGUGGCUGUUUUUGCCCCAUUGACUUCAAUUACAACAAUGUUUUUUGAUUGGCCAAAUGAUCAUUCUACAUUGUUGGUGUUUUUCCCUGUUGGGAGGAGGUAAAACUUUUCAUUUUUAUUGUC